GAUGAACGCUGGCGGCGUGCCUAAUACAUGCAAGUCGAGCGAACAGACGAGGAGCUUGCUCCUCUGACGUUAGCGGCGGACGGGUGAGUAACACGUGGAUAACCUACCUAUAAGACUGGGAUAACUUCGGGAAACCGGAGCUAAUACCGGAUAAUAUAUUGAACCGCAUGGUUCAAUAGUGAAAGACGGUUUUGCUGUCACUUAUAGAUGGAUCCGCGCCGCAUUAGCUAGUUGGUAAGGUAACGGCUUACCAAGGCAACGAUGCGUAGCCGACCUGAGAGGGUGAUCGGCCAGACUGGAACUGAGACACGGUCCAGACUCCGACGGGAGGCAGCAGUAGGGAAUCUUCCGCAAUGGGCGAAAGCCUGACGGAGCAACGCCGCGUGAGUGAUGAAGGUCUUCGGAUCGUAAAACGCUGUUAUUAGGGGAGAACAAAUGUGUAAGUAACUAUGCACGUCUUGACGGUACCUAGUCAGAAAGCCACGGCUAACUACGUG
This 497-nucleotide ribosomal RNA is filed under the name uncultured bacterium. Its description in RNAcentral is "partial 16S ribosomal RNA". It matches the Rfam family "Bacterial small subunit ribosomal RNA", at positions 28 to 507 of the family's 1533-position model. The record is from RNAcentral.